This is a long non-coding RNA of Mytilus californianus (California mussel), 1968 nucleotides long. RefSeq lists it as uncharacterized. The record is from RefSeq and is a predicted model, not a curated record. Lineage: Eukaryota; Metazoa; Mollusca; Bivalvia; Mytilida; Mytilidae. The transcript has 3 exons.
GCCAGUCUGCCAUAAAACCAUGCAAAAUCCCAAAUUUCGUCCAAAUUGGUAGUUACAACUUGCCAAAAUUAUAUAUAUUUCCAAAAACUUUAGGUAUUCAGGAGUUAAGAUAAAAAAAAUUUUUUUGUUAAUUUGCGCUAUUUUGCAUUAAACCGCCUAAUUUGCAUAUUAGUGAAUUAUUUUAAAAAAUGGCUAAAAAAUACACCUUAUUUAGGCACUUUUUAAGGGUCUGGAUAAUUGAUAUAGCUCUUAAAUGAAAUAUUAUUUUUAUCAUAUUUUAAAGGAACAUUAGUUAAUAACCAAAAAAAUAGCUUUUUUGAGAAUUUCUGACCUUUUGGCAGGUUGCCAGAAAGUUCGUGCAACAGAUGUAAUAAACAACUUGUAUAUACUACAUGUACUCAAUAGCAGUUUUCUCUUAAGAUCAUAUUUUUUAUUCUUAACUUUUAUAAUAUUUUGAAAGGUGUAUAUCAGUUCUAAGACAGGUAAAAAAAUUUAGCUUGGCAAAUAAUGGAAAAGUGAUCAAAAAUACUCUUAAAAUAACCAUAAAAUGCAAUAAUUCUAAUAGUUUUUGUUUCUAGUUAUUUAACUAAAAUUACUUAAAGUAGGUGGUAACUGGGCUAAAAUUGAUUUAUUUUAUGUUGAAAAAUAUUUCUGGCCAAAUGUGUGGUUUUUUUCUUGUUAAUUUGCAAAAUUUAACAUUAAGUUACCCAAAGGUAGCCUCAAUGUUAUUUUUGUGUUAAAUUGUCUCCCUUAGUGGAAAUCUUUCACUGGCAAUAUGGCAGCUUCCAGUGAAAAGCAGACGUCUCUGUUCGGUCCGAUUUUUCUCAUCUUGGAGGUUGUUGUGAACAAUCAAAUCACUAUGCAACUCAUCUGUUAGACAAGGUUUAUCUUUGUACAAAGGACACAACCACCACCUUGAAUUUAUCCACAGCACUGAGGCCAGUGAGGGCAGUGAGGCCUGUUUAUCAACCUUUCCACAUGUUCCAGGAGGACUAUUUUAUAAAUACACAUAAGUGACAUUGUUUUCUGUUGAUCGUGCUGCUAUAAAAUUGUCAAUAUGUCCAUGCCGAUGGCACAGAGACUUUUUUGGUAUAUAUUGGCGGGACUAUUCAACAAAGUGUGGAUUCAAAGAUCGUCUUGCUGACAUUGAGGCAAAACUCCAAAAGGUGAAAAGCUGAUAGUGAUGGAGGAACCGCACUAACCCUAUCAUAGGAAUACUGACUUUUGUAAUGACAACUAAUUCCAAAAGUGUCAGGUCUCUGCAAGCAAUGUUUUACCAAGAUUAGACAAACAGUAGCUGAUGGAGGAAUCAUAGUUGAUACAAAAAAGAUUAUGAUGGAGAUGAAAGCCAAAUUAAAGAUGCUCAGGUUCUCAUAGUAUAUUCACAGCAUCAAUUAAUUUUUCAUAAUAUUUAGCAUCAGAUUGGGAAACAGAUAACAUUUCUGACCAGGAGAGGAUUGCAUUUCCUUUGAAAUGGAAAGUAUCCACCAUUUAGGAACCAAUUGAAUCUGGCAUGGGAUGAUGUAUCAAAAAGUACAAUGGCUUUUUCUACAAAAUUAUCAUCAGAAAUUAUUGAUUUGAUUUUGAAUUAUAUUGUACCUGCACAAUACAAGUCGAUAAAGUGUUCUGAUUUGUAGUAGAAAAAUGGAAAACAGACGAAACACAGUCAAUUGUACAAAAGGAUGUUUUGAAUGAAGCUCUUAUUGAUGCAUACUUACUAACUUAGACCUAAAUAGUCAUCCGACCUGGCUUCAGAUCUUAUCACUGUUUGCAUGUAUUCAGACCGUUUUGCAUGUUUCUCUUUAUGGCAGACUUCGCUAAUAUUAUAUGACAGUAAAAUUAUAAGCAAACACCCUGAAUAAUUAUAUAACCAUUUUAAUGAAAAUGUCUGCACCACAGUUGAACCAUUUAUCUGUAUAUUUGUUUUUAUUCAUGUAGGUAUAAAAUAAAUUUUAUUUCCAUUUGAAA